GACGAACGCUGGCGGCGUGCCUAAUACAUGCAAGUCGAACGCAGUGGGGACGGGUGAGUAACACGUGGGUAACCUCCCAUCAGAGGGGAUAACACUUGGAAACAGGUGCUAAACCGAUACUGAUGGAUGGACCCGCGGUGCAUUAGCUAGUUGGUGAGGUAACGGCUCACCAAGGCCACGAUGCAUAGCCGACCUGAGCGGUGAGUCGGCCACACUGGGACUGGAACACGGCCCAAACUCCUACGGGAGGACGCGGUAGGAAAUCUUCGGCAAUGGACGAAAGUCUGACCGAGCAACGCCGCGUGAGUGAAGAAGGUUUUCGGAUCGUAAGACUCUGUUGUUAGAGAAGCGGUAUCUAACCAGAAAGCCACGGCUAACUACGUGCCAGCAGCCGCGGUAAUUC
RNAcentral lists this ribosomal RNA (403 nucleotides) under uncultured bacterium. RNAcentral describes it as "partial 16S ribosomal RNA". It matches the Rfam family "Bacterial small subunit ribosomal RNA", at positions 28 to 526 of the family's 1533-position model. The record is from RNAcentral.